CCUACGGGAGACAGCAGUAAGGAAUAUUGGUCAAUGGAGGCAACUCUGAACCAGCCAUGCCGCGUGCAGGAAGACUGCCCUAUGGGUUGUAAACUGCUUUUAUCCGGGAAUAAACCUACUUACGUGUAAGUAGCUGAAUGUACCGGAAGAAUAAGGAUCGGCUAACUCCGUGCCAGCAGCCGCGGUAAUACGGAGGAUCCAAGCGUUAUCCGGAUUUAUUGGGUUUAAAGGGUGCGUAGGCGGCCUGUUAAGUCAGGGGUGAAAGACGGUAGCUCAACUAUCGCAGUGCCCUUGAUACUGAUGGGCUUGAAUGGACUAGAGGUAGGCGGAAUGAGACAAGUAGCGGUGAAAUGCAUAGAUAUGUCUCAGAACACCGAUUGCGAAGGCAGCUUACUAUGGUCUUAUUGACGCUGAGGCACGAAAGCGUGGGGAUCAAACGCGAGUAUAGUACUACCGUAGGUACUACGACCGUACCGAACAGUACGAACUACGUCGUCGUUGGUCGGACGUACUACACGUACGUCGACGGCCGUACGUAACGGAACGGAAACGGUUAACGGUUAAGGUUCCGUUACCCUACCGGGUUAGGGGUAACGGUACCCGGCCCCGACGGGUAGGGAAACGUAAACCCGUAAACGUAAAGUAAGUUAAGUUACGGUACGGUACGUAGGACGUACGUUACCGGACCGGACGGACCGACCGACGGGGAGGGGAGGGGUAGGGAG
RNAcentral lists this ribosomal RNA (725 nucleotides) under uncultured bacterium. RNAcentral's name for it is "bacterial SSU rRNA". The stretch from base 1 to 527 matches the Rfam family "Bacterial small subunit ribosomal RNA", at positions 338 to 873 of the family's 1533-position model. The record is from RNAcentral.